GAUGAACGCUGGCGGCGUGCCUAAUACAUGCAAGUCGAGCGAACAGACGAGGAGCUUGCUCCUUUGACGUUAGCGGCGGACGGGUGAGUAACACGUGGGUAACCUACCUAUAAGACUGGGAUAACUUCGGGAAACCGGAGCUAAUACCGGAUAAUAUUUCGAACCGCAUGGUUCGAUAGUGAAAGAUGGCUCUUCUAUCACUUAUAUAUGGACCUGCGCCGUAUUAGCUAGUUGGUAAGGUAACGGCUUACCAAGGCAACGAUACGUAGCCGACCUGAGAGGGUGAUCGGCCACACUGGAACUGAGACACGGUCCAGACUCCUACGGGAGGCAGCAGUAGGGAAUCUUCCGCAAUGGGCGAAAGCCUGACGGAGCAACGCCGCGUGAGUGAUGAAGGUCUUCGGAUCGUAAAACUCUGUUAUUAGGGAAGAACAAACGUGUAAGUAACUGUGCACGUCUUGACGGUACCUAAUCAGAAAGCCACGGCUAACUACGUG
RNAcentral lists this ribosomal RNA (497 nucleotides) under uncultured bacterium. RNAcentral describes it as "partial 16S ribosomal RNA". It matches the Rfam family "Bacterial small subunit ribosomal RNA", at positions 28 to 507 of the family's 1533-position model. The record is from RNAcentral.